Molecule: ribosomal RNA, 550 nt
Filed under: uncultured bacterium
Lineage: Bacteria
Description: bacterial SSU rRNA
Rfam family: Bacterial small subunit ribosomal RNA
Source: RNAcentral
UAGGGAACCUUCGGCAAUGGGAGCAACCCUGACCGAGCAACGCCGCGUGAGUGAAGAAGGUUUUCGGAUCGUAAAGCUCUGUUGUAAGUCAAGAACGAGUGUGAGAGUGGAAAGUUCACACUGUGACGGUAGCUUACCAGAAAGGGACGGCUAACUACGUGCCAGCAGCCGCGGUAAUACGUAGGUCCCGAGCGUUGUCCGGAUUUAUUGGGCGUAAAGCGAGCGCAGGCGGUUUGAUAAGUCUGAAGUUAAAGGCUGUGGCUCAACCAUAGUUCGCUUUGGAAACUGUCAAACUUGAGUGCAGAAGGGGAGAGUGGAAUUCCAUGUGUAGCGGUGAAAUGCGUAGAUAUAUGGAGGAACACCGGUGGCGAAAGCGGCUCUCUGGUCUGUAACUGACGCUGAGGCUCGAAAGCGUGGGGAGCGAACAGGAUUAGAUACCCUGGUAGUCCACGCCGUAAACGAUGAGUGCUAGGUGUUGGAUCCUUUCCGGGAUUCAGUGCCGCAGCUAACGCAUUAAGCACUCCGCCUGGGGAGUACGACCGCAAGGUUG